GGGUCUAGCUACAGCCCGCAAUACCUAUGGUUCAGACACGGAACACCCUUCAUAUCACGGAAUGCCCCUAAUAUCAGUCACGGAACACCCUCUGAUGUCAGUUUCGAUACGUCCAUCAUUGUUUUUGUCGGCGCUCGAAGGAAUGGUGGACUUUGAAUAAAUCUUUAUGAAAGCUUUUCGUGAAAAAAAGAACAAGACAGAGUUUGAGUUGGAAAUCAAGAUGACAUCGAACGUGCCAUAAAUUAGAAGAUGGCGGUGUCUUCUCUUACUUCGGAAAGCCAGAAUUAAAGCCAAGACAGCCAUCAUCAGUUUCCACACGAGAAGAAGGACAUUCUGUGUACCAAAGGUAGUGCUUUCUAAUUAUCAGCUAAAAAGUUCUCUGACACUCAUUUUAUAUAUUCACAAAAAAUCUUUGACCAUCAGGUCACAAACCAGGCCUCCAGUGAGGCCUUCACUGAGUUGUGUCUUUCUUUAGCCCUGUGUUGUGUCAAUGGCAUUAUGGGGGCAGAGAAUAGUGGUCUUAAAAAUGGGGGUUUUGUGUGCUCUAACUGAUUUAUUAAAUGGCAAUUAUUUCUGUUUCUAGUAAUUCCAGACAAGAUAAGGAACAGCAAGGACCUUUAUCUCUCUGCUCCUUCUUUUCCAAUAGUGAAGCAUAUGCAGCCUUUUUCUCCUUUUCUCACUCACUGACAUAUUUCUCAAGGGCUUGAUAUUGUAUAUCCUUAACCAAUAUGUGAUAAUGUAAAAUAUAUUUUGUGAAAGUAUAACGUAUUAUGAGACUAUUUAACUGGAAUACAGUAGAAGGUAAAGUGUUUUCACCUAUAAAUAACCAAACUUUUAUAUAAAAUGCAUGUAUUUUUUAAAAUGUUGACUGAAUUAUUUCUGCCAGCACAAUGAAUAGUAUCAAAUUUAGUUUACUGUUCUUAAAAUGUAGGCAAUGAAUGGCUUCAUAGGCUUCCUUUUGUGGAGUGUAAUUUUUUAACUGUUUUCCUUGUUCUUCAAAGAUCAGUUUCAUCUGUGGCAUUAGGUAGCAUUAACUGAAUUUGCAGGUCAGCAUAUUUAUGGUUAUGUGUAGUUGGUAGCAAACUGUCUUCUUCUUCUUUCGUCUGCUCCCAUUAGGGGCUGCCACAGCGGAUCAUCUUCUUCCAGAUCUUUCUGUCCUCUGCAUCUUGUUCUGUUACACCCAUCACCUGCAUGUCCUCUCUCACUACAUCCAUAAAGCUUUGCUUAGGCCUUCCUCUUUUCCUCUUCCCUGGCAGCUCUAUCCUUAGCAUCCUUCUCCCAAUAUACCCAGCAUC
Erpetoichthys calabaricus (reedfish) is the source of this 1295-nucleotide long non-coding RNA. RefSeq lists it as uncharacterized. NCBI's taxonomy places the organism in Eukaryota, Metazoa, Chordata, Cladistia, Polypteriformes, Polypteridae. The transcript has 3 exons. The record is from RefSeq and is a predicted model, not a curated record.